AUUGAACGCUGGCGGCAUGCCUUACACAUGCAAGUCGAACGGUAACAGGUCUUCGGAUGCUGACGAGUGGCGAACGGGUGAGUAAUACAUCGGAACGUGCCUAGUAGUGGGGGAUAACUACUCGAAAGAGUGGCUAAUACCGCAUGAGAUCUACGGAUGAAAGCAGGGGAUCGCAAGACCUUGUGCUACUAGAGCGGCCGAUGGCAGAUUAGGUAGUUGGUGGGAUAAAAGCUUACCAAGCCGACGAUCUGUAGCUGGUCUGAGAGGACGAUCAGACACACUGGGACUGAGACACGGCCCAGACUCCUACGGGAGGCAGCAAUGGGGAAUUUUGGACAAUGGGCGAAAGCCUGAUCCAGCAAUGCCGCGUGCAGGAUGAAGGCCUUCGGGUUGUAAACUGCUUUUGUACGGAACGAAAAGCCCCGGGUUAAUACCCUGGGGUCAUGACGGUACCGUAAGAAUAAGCACCGGCUAACUACGUGCCAGCCGCGGCGGUAA
Molecule: ribosomal RNA, 498 nt
Filed under: uncultured bacterium
Lineage: Bacteria
Description: partial 16S ribosomal RNA
Rfam family: Bacterial small subunit ribosomal RNA
Source: RNAcentral